This 213-nucleotide unclassified non-coding RNA is filed under the name soil metagenome. Its description in RNAcentral is "partial contains 5.8S ribosomal RNA, internal transcribed spacer 2, and large subunit ribosomal RNA". The record is from RNAcentral.
AACAAGGCGUACCUGCGGACCUGCGGAAGGAUCAUUACCGAGUUUACAACUCCCAAACCCAUGUGAACAUACCUAUCGUUGCUUCGGCGGGAUCGCCCCGGGCGCCUCGUGUGCCCCGGAUCCGGCGCCCGCCUAGGAACCUUAACUCUUGUUUUAUUUUGGAAUCUUCUGAGUAGUUUUUACAAAUAAAUAAAAACUUUCAACAAUGGAUCU